Long non-coding RNA from Mytilus trossulus (common blue mussel), 2487 nucleotides. RefSeq lists it as uncharacterized. The transcript has 4 exons. Lineage: Eukaryota; Metazoa; Mollusca; Bivalvia; Mytilida; Mytilidae. The record is from RefSeq and is a predicted model, not a curated record.
UUGUAUUUUCCGGGAUUGUAAGACUUAUUUUAUUUUACUAAAAGAAAGUGGGAAAAUGUAAACAAUAUUUUUUUGGCUGUCAUUACAGGAGCUUAAUCGUCAAUAAUAAUGGACAAAUUGACUGUUGAUUAUACAAAAACUUAAACGACCAUCAUCAUUUAUCUUUUCCAACAUUAUUGCUGGAUUACACUACAUAUUUCUGUAAAAAAAAAUGAAGACAAUGAAAAAUUGUAUUGGCAGUUUUGUUCCUGUGAUACAAUGUUGUCCAUCCAUUUUGUUUUGGAAAAAAAAAACAGAUGCAGAUAAAGCAGAUUAGCCUAAGUACAUGUACUUUAAACAUGAUAAAAGCUGUAAUUGUGAGAUGGAGGAUGGAAGAAAGCAAACAGAAGCAAUAAAUACAAGUACCGGUAAUUAUAAAAUUACACAUUUAGGAUUGACUUAUUGCGAUUACAUGUUUUCAUAUGUAGUAUUUUUCACAUGAUUUACAUUAAAGUUAUGUAUAAAAAAGGGAAUUUGCAUCAAUUAUUGUUUAUUUAUAAGAGGAAAAAUAUGGUGUCCAAUGCUGCAACAAUUAAUUUAAAGUUAUACUAACUAGUGCUGACAAUUAACGAACCUCCUCGUUAACCAAAAAAAAAAAGGUUUUAAUAUAAAAAGAAAAAUUGGUAUGAUUGCAAAUGAGACAACUCUCCAUGUGAGAUCACAAGUGGUUGGUGUCAGCAACUUUAUUACUUACCAUACAUGAUACAAAUCUAACAAACUAUAAAGAGUCACAAAAUGACAUAGAUAAAACAAUUUAAACAAGAAAAUAAAAAGGCUUAUUGUUACUAAGUUUACUUGCUCAUAAGAAUAAGCCAUCAUACUAAGAGAAGAAGUGUAUGGUCAUGCAUGUAUUCAUGUAGUAAAUGUUAAGAUAGGUAAACUAAGUUUGUUCUUUGUUAUAGACUGUAUAUGUAAUAUAUAUACUUAAUAUUUACUAAUAUUUUUGCACACUUAUGAAUAGAUUAAUGUAUGAAGUGCUCCUUUUAUAAAAAUCCAGGAAAAGAAAACCAUGAGCAAGCUUCAAAAGAUAAAGUUGAUGAUAAUAAAUCCGAAUAGCUGAUGAUAAUCUUUACUUUUUCCAUGCUGGAAGGAGCUUGGUGUGUUUUUGGAGGAAUUUGGUGAAUUAUGUUCUACUACAGAAGAGCAUGUAGUAAAUAUAUUGGAGAGGAAACAUCCAAAGUAGUAGAUCUGUGUUGGCUACACUUCUGACAAUUUUAUAUGUUUCCAAUAUUUGGAUCAUUUUAUUUUUAACUACAAUGGAUCAAUGUGUCCAUUUAAGGGGUUGCAAUAUUUAUGUCUAAUCAAUGUAAAAUGUUUGCAAUGUCAUUGGAAAUCAGAGUUUUUUGGGUUUUUUUUGUAUUUGAGAUUAAUCAGAAGUACAAUUGAUUUGCAGAUUUUAAUUAACAUCUACAGUUAAAUCUUUUACAGAUUAAUCUUUCUUUCCAAAUGCCAGUGGUUUUCUUUGUAGUUUUUAUAUUGGUGUCAAAUUAAAUAAUUUAAUGAAUAGGUAAAAAUUGCUAGUAUUUCAAUUAUGACAAAAAUAGAUAGUCAACUUUAAAAAGUUCUGUUACUUUUUCAAAACAUUAUAUAUUGAUCCAACUAAAUGUCAAGUUAUUUGGUAAUGUGUUGUAUCAUGGUCAAUUUUAACUUUUUCAUCAGUAGGGGAAAAACUGCAAUUUCCAUGUCAGAAAAAAGUAUGACAAUAAACUUUAAAGAUUUCUGUAACUUUUUCAAAUAAACUUGCAUAUUCUUAAAACUCUACAGUUUACUUUAUUACAUAUUAUUCUUACUAAAUGCUAGGUUAUAUAAUAGUUUGUUAUAUUCGUGUCAACUGUAAAGAUUUAAUUGAGAGGUAAAAAAAUGGAAAUUUUUCAUGUCAGAAAAGUUAUGAUAUGAACUUUAAAAAUGUCUGUAACUUUUUGAAAUAAACUAGCAUAUUCUUAAAACUCUACAAUUUACUUAAUUACAUAUCAAUCUUACUAAAUGCUAGGUUACAUGGUCGUUUGUUGUUUUGGUGUCAACUGUAAAGAUUUAAUUUAGAGGUAAAAAAAAUUGAAAUUUCAUGUUGGAAAAAGUUGUGACAGUCAACUUUAAAAUUUCUGUAACUUUUCAAAUAAACUUGCAUAUUCUUAAAACUCUACAGUUCACUGAAUUACCUAUUAUUCUUACUAAAUGCCAGGUUAUAUGGUUGUUUGUUAUAUUGGUGUCAACUAAAAAAUGGAAAUUUUUCAUGUCGGAAAAAAUUAUGAUAGUCAACUAAAAAAUUUCUGUAACUUUUUCAAAUAAACUUGCAUAUUCUUAAAAAUCUACAGUUUACCUAAUUACAUAUUAUUCUUACUAAAUGCUAAGUUAUAUUGUUGUUUGUUGUAUUGGUGUCAACUGUAAAGAUUUAAUUGAGAGGUAAUAAAAAUGGAAAUUUUUCAUGUUCGAAAAAGUUAUGAUAGUCAA